Anneissia japonica is the source of this 632-nucleotide long non-coding RNA. RefSeq lists it as uncharacterized. The transcript has 3 exons. NCBI's taxonomy places the organism in Eukaryota, Metazoa, Echinodermata, Crinoidea, Comatulida, Comatulidae. The record is from RefSeq and is a predicted model, not a curated record.
UAGUAGUAAUAUUAUUUGUUGUAGUUAAUAUGUAAUAGAUUUCCUUAUAUCUUGUUUAUUAUUAUGUUUUACAUUUAUUUUUUUUAAUUUUACAAAUUAAUAAUAUAAGUGCCGAGAGUAUUGGUUCGUGUUAAGCAUAGAAAGCUUGGUGUACACGUCCUUACUCGAAGGUAAACUCAUCGGAGAUAAAAAUGCUAAAAUGUUUGAUUUGAUUUAUUCAAUAUCUCUUAAAUUACAUACAAACAUAGAAAAUCUCGUUGACAGACGCAAAAUGAGCAAAAAAAAAACAAAACGAAAAAGAGGUAUUAGGAUAAAACGCUAAGUCCCUUUUAGGGACUUAUUUCCAGAGGUGUCCAUUGUUGCUAAAACACAAUGUAAUAGUCCACUGAGUAUAUGUGAACUAAAAUAUUAUUUUUUUCCUCAGAAAUCUAAAUGAAGCCGGCAUUAAGGAAAUUAAAACAGGAAGUUUCAGAAAUAUUGGAGCCAUCUCUAAAGUAAGUUUAGGUUCUAACUCAAUUAGGCACCUUCCACCGAGGUUCAUUAAUUCAAGUUUUUUAUUCCAGUUGUAUUUAUCAUCCAAUAAAUUGCAGCAUAUUGACCCUGAGGCAUUUGCUGAGGUGGGAAUGAUAAUG